GACGAACGCUGGCGGCGUGCCUAAUACAUGCAAGUAGAACGCAGUUGCGAACGGGUGAGUAACGCGUCGGUAACUGCCUCAUAGCGGGGGGUAACUAUUGGAAACGAUAGCUAAUACCGCAUACUGUGAGAUGGACCUGCGUUGUAUUAGGUAGUUGGUGAGGUAAAGGCUCACCAAGGCGACGGUCCAUAGCCGACCUGAGAGGGUGAUCGGCCACACUGGGACGGAGACACGGCCCAGACGGCCAGGGGAGGGAGCCGUAGGGAUUCGUCGGGAAUGGACGGAAGUCUGACCGCGCAACGCGGCGUGAGUGAAGAAGGUUGCCGGAUCGUAAAGCUCUGUUGUUAGAGAAGCGGUAACUACCCAGAAAGGGACGGCUAACUACGUGCCAGCAGCCGCGGUAAUAC
RNAcentral lists this ribosomal RNA (407 nucleotides) under uncultured bacterium. Its description in RNAcentral is "partial 16S ribosomal RNA". It matches the Rfam family "Bacterial small subunit ribosomal RNA", at positions 28 to 526 of the family's 1533-position model. The record is from RNAcentral.